CAGGGAGUAGUUUAGGACAAGAAUAUCAGCUUUGGGAGUUGAAGGCGAAAUUUAUGUUUCUUCCCUGA
RNAcentral lists this transfer RNA (68 nucleotides) under Parasciurus arizonensis. Its description in RNAcentral is "tRNA-Pro". It matches the Rfam family "tRNA". Rfam says of the family: Transfer RNA (tRNA) molecules are approximately 80 nucleotides in length. Their secondary structure includes four short double-helical elements and three loops (D, anti-codon, and T loops). Lineage: Eukaryota; Metazoa; Chordata; Mammalia; Rodentia; Sciuridae. The record is from RNAcentral.